GAUGAACGCUGGCGGCGUGCCUAAUACAUGCAAGUCGAGCGAACAGACGAGGAGCUUGCUCCUCUGACGUUAGCGGCGGACGGGUGAGUAACACGUGGAUAACCUACCUAUAAGACUGGGAUAACUUCGGGAAACCGGAGCUAAUACCGGAUAAUAUAUUGAACCUCAUGGUUCAAUAGUGAAAGACGGUUUUGCUGUCACUUAUAGAUGGAUCCGCGCCGCAUUAGCUAGUUGGUAAGGUAACGGCUUACCAAGGCAACGAUGCGUAGCCGACCUGAGAGGGUGGUCGGCCACACUGGAACUGAGACACGGUCCAGACUCCUACGGGAGGCAGCAGUAGGGAAUCUUCCGCAAUGGGCGAGAGCCUGACGGAGCAACGCCGCGUGAGUGAUGAAGGUCUUCGGAUCGUAAAACUCUGUUAUUAGGGAAGAACAAAUGUGUAAGUAACUAUGCACGUCUUGACGGUACCUAGUCAGAAAGCCACGGCUAACUACGUG
RNAcentral lists this ribosomal RNA (497 nucleotides) under uncultured bacterium. RNAcentral's name for it is "partial 16S ribosomal RNA". It matches the Rfam family "Bacterial small subunit ribosomal RNA", at positions 28 to 507 of the family's 1533-position model. The record is from RNAcentral.